Molecule: ribosomal RNA, 631 nt
Filed under: human gut metagenome
Description: bacterial LSU rRNA
Rfam family: Bacterial large subunit ribosomal RNA
Source: RNAcentral
AGCCUCAUUUUAGUCUUAUGGAGGUAGAGCACUGAAUUUCCGCGGGGGCGUCAAAGCUUACCAAAGAAUAUCAAACUCCGAAUGCCAUGUAGAUGAUGAAUGGGAGUCAGACUGCACGAGAUAAGUUGGGCAGUCAAAAGGGAAAGAGCCCAGACCACCAGCUAAGGUCCCAAAGUGUGUGUUAAGUGGAAAAGGAUGUGGGAUUUCAAAGACAACUAGGAUGUUGGCUCAGAAGCAGCCACACAUUCAAAGAGUGCGUAACAGCUCACUAGUCGAGAGGUCCUGCGCCGAAAAUGUCCGGGGCUAAAACACAACACCGAAGCUGUGGAAUCACGUAGUGAUUGGUAGAGGAGCAUUCUUAAGACCGACGAAGCUGUACCGGAAGGAGCAGUGGAGGGAUAAGAAGAGAGAAUGCCGGAAUGAGUAGCGAGAGAGAGGUGAGAAUCCUCUCGGCCGAAUAUCCAAGGUUUCCAGAGUAAAGCUGAUCUGCUCUGGGUAAGUCGGGGCCUAAGGAGAGGUCGAAAGACGUAUCCGAUGGACAACAGGUUUAGAUUCCUGUACCACAUAUGAACAGAACUGUGGGGACGCAUGUGGAGAGCACGAGCCGGGAAUGGAAAUACCGGUACAAGCG